Molecule: ribosomal RNA, 496 nt
Filed under: uncultured bacterium
Lineage: Bacteria
Description: partial 16S ribosomal RNA
Rfam family: Bacterial small subunit ribosomal RNA
Source: RNAcentral
GAUGAACGCUGGCGGCGUGCCUAAUACAUGCAAGUCGAGCGAACAGACGAGGAGCUUGCUCCUCUGACGUUAGCGGCGGACGGGUGAGUAACACGUGGAUAACCUACCUAUAAGACUGGGAUAACUUCGGGAAACCGGAGCUAAUACCGGAUAAUAUAUUGAACCGCAUGGUUCAAUAGUGAAAGACGGUUUUGCUGUCACUUAUAGAUGGAUCCGCGCCGCAUUAGCUAGUUGGUAAGGUAACGGCUUACCAAGGCGACGAUGCGUAGCCGACCUGAGAGGGUGAGCGGCCACACUGGAACUGAGACACGGUCCAGACUCCUACGGGAGGCAGCAGUAGGGAAUCUUCCGCAAUGGGCGAAAGCCUGACGGAGCAACGCCGCGUGAGUGAUGAAGGUCUUCGGAUCGUAAAACGCUGUUAUUAGGGAAGAACAAAUGUGUAAGUAACUAUGCACGUCUUGACGGUACCUAAUCAGAAAGCCACGGCUAACUACGU